GCCCACGUAGCUCAGUCGGUAGAGCAGCUCAUUCGUAAUGAGCAGGUCGACGGUUCAAAUCCGCCUGUGGGCU
RNAcentral lists this transfer RNA (73 nucleotides) under Candidatus Hydrogenedentes bacterium CG1_02_42_14. RNAcentral's name for it is "tRNA-Thr". It matches the Rfam family "tRNA". Rfam says of the family: Transfer RNA (tRNA) molecules are approximately 80 nucleotides in length. Their secondary structure includes four short double-helical elements and three loops (D, anti-codon, and T loops). Lineage: Bacteria; Pseudomonadati; Candidatus Hydrogenedentota. The record is from RNAcentral.